GCUCUUCCUUACCUGCUGCUAUAUUCAGGCUGUCUUUUAGCUUCUUUUACCAUGCACACCAAAUUAGUCUUUAAGUACGAGAGCGCUAAUGUCAUGUUAAACCUGAAAGCGGAUGCGAAAAAGAUGUCAGAAAUCUGCUUGGGGUCAAGAUUGGACUUCUAUACUUUAUUUGGAGUGGGUGGUGGCAGCCAUGUUCUCAUCUUAACAUUUGUAAUAUAGAGAUCUGUUGGAAUCUUUUGGGACAUUAAGUAUGUUGAACGGGAUGAACUUUUCAAUUUAUUUCAAUAACUAUCUUUAUAAUGUUAUUUUGGUCUAAUAUGCUCGAGUAACCCCCCUCCUCACAUCAGGUGAUCAACUAGAGAUUGGAAAGGAGACAGGACGCUGUUUAGGAAUGGGAAAUAAUAUGUAUCCUGCUGCUUCUUUACUAGGCCAGGAUAAGGAUGAGUCUAUUGCAACUUUGCCUGUUGAUGAGAUGAUUGAAAAAGCAGAUGGUUUUGCUGGUGUUUUUCAUGUUGUAGGAACUAGCUAGUAAGAAGAGCAAGUACCCAUCAUCCAGAGCUACGACCAAUAGAGCAUCCUCUCGUAAAGGUAAUUAGCUUAUUCUGGAUACUAUAUUGUUCCUUAAAUUGAUUAAAGUAUUACCCUAAAUAUUAAGAGAAAAAAAGUAUUAUUGUCCCUUGCUACAAAUAAGUAAGAAGUAAUCUUUCGUCCUCCCUUAGGAAGCACCGGAUCAAACAAGGAUCUUGGGAUAUUUAGACACAUAAGAGCACUUAGCAGUGUUUUUGAGAAACUUACUUUGAUUCAAAGUCUUGGCUCUUAUUGUUAUACUUUAAAGCAGAUGACAACUAUAAUGUACAAUCCACUCUACUGGUUCAUUAAGUUCUUAGAAAUGCAUAUCUUCCAUUGACAAACAGGUGAAAGAUUUACAAUGGGAACAUGUAGAUGUAAAGUUCAUUAUAUAACCAAUGGUAGAAAAUAUGUGAUUUCUCUAAGAAAAACUUCAUAUGACGAAUAAACUUUAAUUGUUUUAUGUAGAGAUACUUCAUUCCACCAUUUUAUUAUUAUUAUUAUGAAGGGUUUUAUGUUGCAUAGAGUUUGAUUUGACAUCAGUCGUGCCAAUAAUAAGCUUUAUGCAACCAUUGGACCUUUGCAAUGAAGAUAUGCUACAUCUGUGAGGCAAAAGCUUUUUAGGUAUUCUGGUGUAACGAAUUUUUCAUGACACUGUCCUAAAUAUAGCGGGAAUAACAUCGUGGAUUUAAUCAGAUUAGCCAAAAUGUAACUGUUGCUAAUUAAGACAAGGUGUGUCUUGGAUGCUUGCAUGCUCAAUCAUUUAGUGAUAUUUUGUUCUUAAUGAAUUGUUUCUAUGCACAGUAGGUGGUGCAAUGAGAAGGGGGACACUAUCUGUGAAAUUUGCCGCCACGUUUGUAGGUCCAAUUUUUUUGUCCUGUGUUCAUUCUUUAAGACCUAAAUGUUGAUGUUUGGUAAUUAUGCAACCUUGUAAAAUUGUGUGCAACACAACAUUGCUUGAAUAUCUCUUUGUUUGGCACAAGAUGAAGAAUGCUCCUAUUGGCACGAGGUAUAUGUGUUUAUUCUUACUUAUCCAUAUCUUGCUAUUUCAUGUCUGCUUGGUUAAAUUUUUACAUUGUAGUUGUAGAAUUUAUCUCUAUAGGGUUACUAGUAUUAAAAGAAAUCUGAUGUAUUUUUGACUGAAUAACUAGAUCUUGUUUCAUGAGUCAUGCAAGUGUAAGGAGAAUAUGCUCUAGUAUUGCUAGUGACCGCGGACACUAAUUGCUUUAAAAGUGUUCCCAAAUGUGUUCUUCCAAAGCAAUAAAUGACUUUGAAAUAGUCAUUAGCUAGUUGGCAUAACCUUAGGCGUAUAUUAUUUGGUUUUUCUUGUUUGGUAGGGUGAACUGAAGCCCAUGGAUGUAGAGCAACAGAGAGAGUAUGGUCACAAGAUGGUGAAUUUCAUUCUUGAUUGUUACAAGAACAAUGAGAACUCACUGUUCUCAAUCAAGUUCAGGUUUUCAUAAUAACCUAUCAAUUUCUUUUUGUAUCCUUACCCAAGAAUUAGUUAUUUCCCCAUAGAAAGUUUAGCCAUUGCAUGACAUUGUUAUUUUGGCAGAGUUUGCGGAGACUUAGCUAGAAAAAAGUACUCCAUUAUAUUUCGAAUGAAAUUAGUAAAGCUCAAUCUUUUGAUGAAUACAUUUUUAAUAUCUUAGCUA
Long non-coding RNA from Nicotiana attenuata, 2222 nucleotides. RefSeq lists it as uncharacterized. Lineage: Eukaryota; Viridiplantae; Streptophyta; Magnoliopsida; Solanales; Solanaceae. The record is from RefSeq and is a predicted model, not a curated record. The transcript is spliced from 2 exons.